Small nucleolar RNA from Eublepharis macularius, 69 nucleotides. The record is from RefSeq and is a predicted model, not a curated record. Lineage: Eukaryota; Metazoa; Chordata; Lepidosauria; Squamata; Eublepharidae.
CUCUCUUGUGAUGAGACCCUUACUGCCCCAGUCUGAUAUCUGUGACUGAAUGGUUCCCUCUGAGCCCAG